Molecule: transfer RNA, 68 nt
Filed under: Conus decoratus
Lineage: Eukaryota; Metazoa; Mollusca; Gastropoda; Neogastropoda; Conidae
Also listed under: 1 other name
Description: tRNA-Ser
Source: RNAcentral
AGAAGAGACUUGGAGUGAAGCAGGGCUGCUAACUUUGCUUUGGGUAAUUCGAUUGUAUCCUUCUUCUU